This 70-nucleotide transfer RNA is filed under the name Goera fissa. RNAcentral's name for it is "tRNA-Cys". The record is from RNAcentral. Lineage: Eukaryota; Metazoa; Arthropoda; Insecta; Trichoptera; Goeridae.
AGUUUUAUAGUCAAUAGAGUAUAUGAUAUUAAAUUGCAAAUUUAAAGUAGUAAAAUUUAUACUAAAGCUU